This 41971-nucleotide long non-coding RNA is filed under the name Capsella rubella. RNAcentral's name for it is "long non-coding RNA (CRUB_LNC003301)". Lineage: Eukaryota; Viridiplantae; Streptophyta; Magnoliopsida; Brassicales; Brassicaceae. The record is from RNAcentral.
AAACAUGGAGAACAUAGCCAACCUUCCGUUCUUGAGCUCCUUAACCUUCAACUCCGCGAAAGCCUCGGGGUCGGUAGCAAGACCCAAUGGGUCGAAGCUGCCACCUGGGUAAAGCAAGUCCUCUGCCUCACCCAAGGGGCCAUCUCCGGCAACUCUGUAGCCUUCAACAGCUCCCAUGAGGAUAACCUGAGUGGCCCAAAUGGCUAAGAUGCUCUGAGCGUGGACCAAGCUGGGGUUGCCCAAGUAGUCCAAUCCUCCGUCGCUGAAGAUCUGGGAACCGGCCUUGAACCAAACGGCUUCUCCGAACUUGACUCCGUUCCUGGCCAAUAGCUCAGGGAAAACGCAGCCAAGGGCUCCGAGCAUGGCCCAUCUGCUGUGGAUGACUUCUAGCUCACGGUUCCUGGCGAAGGUCUCUGGGUCAGCGGAUAGACCGGCGGUGUCCCAUCCAUAGUCACCUGGGAACUCUCCGGUAAGGUAGCUCGGUGGCUCGCCGGAGAAGGGACCCAAGUACUUGACUCGGUCAGAUCCGUACCAUGGGCUGCCUGAUGGACCCUUAGGCUUGGCAACAGUCUUCCUCAUGGUCACACGGCCGGUUCCGAGGACAUCUGAUGCUGCGGGCUUCACAGCCUUUCCAGCGAAGGCAGGGGAGGACAGAGCCAUGGUUGAGGAAGCCAUUAGAAUCUUUCUUCGUUCUUCUUUUUCUUUUCUGUUUUUUUUUUUUGUUGUGACUGGUGAGAGUGAUUGAAACUGGUUGGGGUAUAGAUCCGCUUUAUAGCAAUGUUAAGAGUAAGGUUUGUUAUCUAUGAAGUAUCUGUAUCUGUUUACUGAUUGGCUUAUGAGAUUUUGGGUUCGUCUUUAUCUUGUCCUAUGUGUCACUCUCUAGUCCAUAAGCUUUUUUGCCAGAUUCUUAUAAGCUGCAAUGAAGACACUUGUGAUUUGUCCACUUUGGAACUUUGAAUAAAAUUUUGCAAAUAUAAAUUUUAACAGGAUAUAUUUUAUAAAUAUCAAGUACGUUACUCUCUCUUUUUUUUUUUUUCUUUUUUUUUUCUGUAAUUUUAUUUUAACACUUUUUGGAACGUAAAAGUUAAACUACUACAUUGUGCAACCAAACCAUUUUUUAAGUGAAACAAUGCAUUUUAGAUUUAACCAAAAGUGCUACAAGUUUUCACGUUUACAACAAUUGAACAGAUUUAAGGAAAAAAAAAACAACGUUAUAUAUAUAUGCAUUCUUUAAGAACCAUUAUGUUGAUUGAUUAAUUAGUUUGUUUUCAGCAAGAAAAAUGACUGGUAAGUUGCCUUGCUCAUACUUAAAAACGGUUCACAAAUUGUUUUGAAGAUGAAUAUUGUAAUUAGUUUUACUUUUACUUUCUAAUGCUUUUAUUAUAUGCAGAACCCAAAUCUCCAUAUAUAUUUUUUUUUUGGUAAAAGCAAAUCUCCAUAUUUGAUGGAACAAAUUAGAGUGAUUGAUAAUGAAAUGUUCACCUAAUACUCAUCCUCAUAUUUCAUUUUUGUGAAAGAAAUGAGUAAGUAGAGUGAGUGGUAUAUGCAUCAAUCAAGUUUUUGGUAUCGAAUUGCUUUGAUUGUUAUUAUCACACGUCCAUUUGGGGAAACACUAAAGACGAUCAGAAAAAAAAUAUCUUAAGACAUGUACCUAUUGAGACUGAUACGAUUCGAAACGGAUAGAGAAACACGUCAGAGUUUACAUGUGGCACGCCUUCAAUGGGUACUCCAAUAUGCUAACACAAUUCUACGAGAUAUCUCUAAAUUAUCAAACACACAACUCAAAAUACUCAAAUUCCAAACAAGACCCACUGAUGCCACCUCGGCAAGACAAAAUAAAAAAUCUAAGCUUAAAAAUGUCAACAACCAAUAGAAAUCAAGACAUUGGUGAUAUCCCUAGAUAAGCAACUUAAAUCUUCAAGUUUUAGUUUACCUUCGGUUCACAUUAUAAAUACCCUAAUAACAUCACCGUAACCUAACCAUCCAAUUCAUCACAACUUAACUAAGAGUAAGAGCCUUUUACUUGCACCACAGUCUAACCGCAAUGGCCGCCUCGACAAUGGCUCUCUCCUCUCCUGCUUUGGCUGGAAAGGCCGUCAAGCUAUCCCCGGCGGCCUCUGAAGUUUUUGGUACCGGCCGAGUAACCAUGCGCAAAGCCUCCAAACCCACCGGUCCAUCCGGCAGCCCAUGGUACGGAUCCGACCGCGUCAAGUACUUGGGUCCGUUCUCUGGCGAGCCACCAAGCUACCUCACAGGAGAAUUUCCCGGUGACUACGGGUGGGACACUGCUGGUCUAUCCGCCGAUCCCGAGACUUUCGCCAGAAACCGUGAGCUAGAAGUUAUCCACAGCAGAUGGGCCAUGUUAGGAGCCCUAGGCUGCGUUUUCCCUGAGCUAUUGGCGAGGAAUGGAGUGAAGUUCGGAGAAGCGGUUUGGUUCAAGGCUGGAUCACAGAUCUUCAGUGACGGAGGAUUGGACUACUUGGGCAACCCGAGUUUGGUCCACGCUCAGAGCAUUCUAGCCAUUUGGGCCACUCAAGUGAUCCUCAUGGGAGCUGUGGAAGGUUACAGAGUUGCCGGAGAUGGUCCGUUGGGAGAAGCAGAGGACUUGCUUUACCCAGGUGGCAGCUUCGACCCAUUGGGUCUUGCUACUGACCCCGAGGCUUUCGCUGAGUUGAAGGUGAAGGAACUUAAGAACGGGAGGUUGGCUAUGUUCUCUAUGUUUGGAUUCUUUGUUCAAGCCAUCGUCACCGGAAAGGGACCGUUGGAGAACCUUGCUGACCAUUUGGCUGAUCCAGUCAACAACAACGCAUGGGCCUUCGCCACUAACUUCGUCCCCGGAAAGUGAGUUUAUAAUUCGUGAUCAAGUUGUGUAUCUCUGGUUUGUUGAAUCUUGGAAAUGUGAUGGUGAUUUUAUCUCUUGUAAAUUACUUUUGUAAGUGUGAAAUAUUUAAGAAGCUUUGUAAAAUUAAUGGAUCGGUUUACUUACUUGUGUGCAAAAAAAUAGUACAUAAACAUAUUGCGGUGUGAACACAACACAAUUCGUUUCCAAGAACCGAGAUGACCCUGUUUAAUAGUAUCAGUCCAAAUUUUUACUCUACUUUGAUUCUUUCGAAUAAGUAAAUAUACUCUCGUAACACAUAACUUGAGAGACUCACAAACCUUUGGUCAUGUUCUCAGUGUUUUCAUGGUAAUAAACUACAUUUCAUAUAAUAAUAAUAAAAAAUCAAUCUUGAUUUAAAAACCAGCUCUACUUUUUUAGAAAUAAUAUCCACUUUUUCUAGUUUGUAGGAACUUGUUUGAAAUUAUAAAUAAUAAAAUCCCAAAAUAAAAACGCAAACAAAAACGUUAUAAUAUGACAAAAGUGUCCAAAAAAAAUGAACACAAACCAUUAAAACACAUCAUAAUUUUGGUCUAUAACUUAUUAAUUAGCAUUAUUUUAAAACAUAUAAAAGGGUCCAUAAAAAAUGAAUAUUGUUGGUAGUGGGUUUUGAUGAUUGUAAAGCCCAUUAGCCAGGCCUAAUAAGAAAGACGAAAAUGCAAGAAUAGUAAUGGGCCGGAGAACCAUAGUCAAAAUCCAGUCGUUGACACUUAAAACAAAAAACAAAUUGAAAACCCUUUCUGGCGCCGGAAAGACAAACCGGAAAGGCAAAUACAAAGGGAAAUUGAGAAGCAUAGGAGAAAGAAAAAGAAAAAGAUAAACGCGCGUUAGAUUUACGCGCGUUAAAUUUACGCGCUUUCUCUUAUUCAAAGAGUUUUUAUUUCUAUGUUAGCUAUUUUUCACAAGGUAAUGAAUCGAUAUUUUAUCUAUAUAUUGAAGGACCAAGGUGGAAUAGAAGAUUGAAUUUUAGAAGAUUAAUGUAUGGUUGAAUAACACAAUUAGAAACUAUUCAAUAGUAAGAAAAAAAUGAAAAAUUUUAAAUAUUCCAGGAUGUUUUAAAUACACAAUUAGCAACUAUUCAACGGCCAUAUAAGGCAAUUUUAGAUUUUCAAUUAAAACUUCCUAAGUAUGCACUCUUGUGAAUUCUCCACCACCACCACUAUAUAUGAUACUCUUGUUAGGUUCAAUGAAAAAUCACCACCUCUAUUACUCAGUAGUAGCAAAAUACAAAAUCUUCUUAAAUAAAAAAAAGACGAGAGACUUGCUCUUUCUUCGUACCGUUUAGCGAACAAAUGGGUCGGAGAAAGAUCAAGAUGGAGAUGGUUCAAGACAUGAACACAAGGCAGGUCACCUUUUCCAAACGGAGGACCGGUUUGUUCAAGAAGGCGAGCGAGUUGGCCACGCUCUGCAAUGCUGAGUUGGGUAUUGUUGUCUUUUCACCAGGAGGCAAGCCUUUCUCCUACGGGAAACCGGAUCUCGAUUCUGUUGUAGAGCGAUUCAUGAGGGACGAUGAUGAGUCAGAUAGUGGUGAUGAAGAAGGAAGAGCGCGAAAUGGACCUAAACUGAAGAAGAUGAGUGAACGUCUUGAUUCGCUCAACCAAGAGAUUGAAGCUGAGAAGAAACGAGGCGAAAAGGAUCAGGAGAAGCUCGAAUCUGCUGGGGAUGAGAGAUUCAAGAAGCCCAUCGAGGCGCUUACCCUCGAUGAACUCAAUGAAUACAAAGAUAAGCUCAAGACAGUCCAUGGUAGGAUCGAAGGUGACGCCUAUCGCGUCCAUGCUUCGUCUUGUCUUUUGUCUCUCUCCGUAAAAAACUAGCGUGACUUGUUGAAGUCGCAUUCUAUUUUUGUAUCAGCCACAGAAGUUACUAGCAUGAAAGAUAUUGUUGGUGUAGAGUUUUCAUCAUCUAUUCUAAUGGGGUGUGACUUUCAAUUUCAUAUCACAUGUGUGUAACCGAGAAAUCGAAAAGUACCUGUUAAUUUGUCUGUGUUAAUCUCAAGUGUAUUUUGUCAAACAUGAUCCACCUUUUCGCCAGUCUGCAAUCUGGAAAUUUAUUUUCAAAUAGAAGAUUACGAUAUAAAGAAACGAAACCUUUGGCCACCACUCAAGAAACUAGUUUGUAUUCAUUGAUCUCCAUGUAUACUCCACAGAAGAAUGAGUAUCAGGGAAUGAUCUCAAUGAAACAGAAACUUCUAAACGUCAAUAUACAAAAACCCAUCCUAGAAGGCUUAGAACAAUGUUUUCUAAAAACUAAAAAGUAAUCUAUUCAGAAUAAUCUGAGUCGGUCUCUGAUUCAUCGUGUUCACCUGAUUCCUGCAUGAACAGUAGUAAAAUGAAAAGGUUAGACUAAUGUUUUACCACCGCAUCAGAGGGAUACUGAGGUGAAUAAAUAUUAAUUGGAAAACAUAUGAUAAAUGAAAAAAUGGGUACCAUCCUCUUGGUAUAUUCUGUCAUUGCUCGGUGAAACUCUUCCCUCUUCUCAGUGGCUAUAUCAUAAUACUUUACCUUUUCCUACAAUACAGUAGAGGAACAAACAAUACGUAUAAGAAACUUUGAUUCAUGUCUCAACCAGAAAUAUCUCAUUAUACCAACAAAACAUCAUGUGAGCAGCAAGAAAAAUAGAGAGAUUGUUCACAAAAAGAACAAGAAAACUACAGAGUGUGAAUUGCAAUCUGGCAACAGCCAACCCAGAUUGUACCAUUUCAUUGCUUAAACGAUCAUAUUACUUAUCAUCACAAUAUUCCAGAUUGUAACCAUUUCAUUGCUUAACUGAUCAUUACUUAUCAUCACAAUAUUCCAGAUUCCAUGCAUUUAACUAUCACUCGAACAAUGUCACUGAGGAAACUCUUGGAAGAUGAUAGAGCCAAAUAUGUUAACGAAGUCCAAGAGACAAUAAAGUAAUUGGGACACAAGAGCAAAACCCAUGUUACCUCGUAUAUCAUUGUUUUCCAUUUCUCUCCGCAUGACUUCCCAAUCUGAACAAAAUGAAAAUAUUAACAAAUUCAGCAAUCGAACCAAAGUGAAUAUUACCGUCAAAAUUUGUUCACUUUGAAAUAAAACAAAGCCUACAACCUCGCGCAUGGACUUGACCUCCGGAUUCUGCUCUUGAUAUUGCUUCCGGAAAUCCUCCCUUUGGAACCAAAAAUGAUAAAGCAGUAUGAGGCAAGAGGAAAAUGCAUACAACAGGCGUUUCUUUAUAUGUUUUCUAAAGCAACACAUAACAACAAGUAAAUUUCACCCUGAUGUCAAACAUAAAAGAAAUUUCAUCCUGAAGACCAAUGGCAAAAUGCAGAAAUAUUUCCCCUUAAGUGCUUGGAAGUUCAGCUGAGCUUAAAAUAUAUAGACAACAGUUUGCAAUCAUAUGAGAAGGAGAGGGAGUACCUACAAGAAAUAGAAGAAAGCAGUGGGAGGUUUCUUAGGCAUCUUCGAACGGAGUUUAACCGGUUUCUUCUUCUUCUGGCUUGUAUUUGGCUUUCUCAACGGCUGAAGUCUUAAUCUUGUAGACCUCCUCACAUUUUCACUGGACUUCACAGCCACCUCUAAGUUCCUAUUAAAAAAUCCACAAUGCAAAAUCAGAGUAGUCUAACAGCUUCUCUCCUAAUUCUUCUCACCCAUUUCUGUUGAAUAUUGAAGUUCACAAAUUUCAUUCCAGUUUGAUCUCAAUUCCCUACCUAAACACUAAGCAGAGAAAUCAAAGCAGAACCAGGUAAAAACCAAAACUUGAUCUGUAACCUAUAUCUACGUCAUACACGAAACUUACCGAGUAGAGCCUCCACUGCACGACGGAGACGAAGACCGCAAUAACCCUGAACUGGGAGCUUUCUUCGUCAUUUUCUCGCCACUUUCUCGGAAUCGAAAAACUUUUCUCGGCUGCCUCUUCUGGGGGGUUUUCCGUAAUUGUGUAGUUUGCGCGAGCUGAAACAGAGUGUGACAAUUUUGCCCCGUGGCGUAGUCUAAUCAACAAAAAAAGGCAAAGAAUAAUAAAAAAUUAAAAAUCACGAUUUUACAAAGUUAACGUCUGUGGGAGAGAUUAACACACAUUCGAUGGCAACAUCUUUGCUUCUCAGACAUUCCUCAGCCGUCUUCUUCUCUCAGUCUUCUCGCUUCUUCACCAAGAACAACUCUUUUCGUUCCUUCACUUCCAUCAAGGUUAGAUUUUUCAAUUCUGUCUCAUUCUCUUAUGUAUUUGCUAGAAUCUAGUUGAUGAGAGAAAACGGUAAUUUAGAUAUUCCCAAUUCUGAAUUUGGCUUUGCUUGUGUCGCAGAUGCAAAGAGGUGAAGCAGUGAAGACAAAGAAGGUGUUUGUGGCCGGAGCUACUGGGAAUACCGGGAAGAGGAUUGUGGAGCAGUUGUUGUCCCGUGGCUUUGCCGUCAAAGCUGGUGUUCGUGACGUAGAGAAGGCUAAAACAUCUUUCAAAGACAACCCUUCUCUUGAGAUCGUACGUUCUUUUCUUAAUCCGAUGUUUUCUCCCCUGUCAAGUCUCACAACUGCUCUGUUAUUUCUUCUAGGUUAGAGCAGACGUGACAGAAGGUCCUGAGAAGCUAGCUGAAGCUAUUGGUGAUGAUUCUCAGGCUGUGAUUUGUGCUACCGGGUUUCGUCCCGGGUUUGAUAUUUUUACGCCUUGGAAAGUCGAUAAUUUUGGGACAGUAAAUCUUGUGGAUGCUUGCCGUAAACAAGGAGUGGAAAGGUUUGUUCUUAUAAGCUCAAUCUUGGUGAAUGGAGCUGCAAUGGGACAGAUACUGAACCCUGCUUACAUCUUCCUCAACCUCUUUGGACUGACUCUGGUCGCUAAGCUUCAAGCUGAGAAGUAUAUUAAAAAAUCUGGCAUCAUUUAUACUAUAGUAAGGCCCGGUGGUCUUAAAAACGAUCCUCCAACCGGAAAUGUUGUCAUGGAGCCAGAGGUAAAACAUAGACUUUGAUCUUUGUUUCGUCUGUUUUGUAGUGGAACUGAUAAAGAUCUUACCCUUGAUCUUUGUAGGAUACUCUGUAUGAAGGAAGCAUAUCGAGAGACCAGGUCGCAGAAGUUGCAGUGGAAGCUCUGCUUAAUGAUGAAUCAUCUUUCAAGGUUGUGGAGAUAGUUGCUCGUGCUGAAGCUCCAAAACGUUCCUACAACGAUCUCUUCGCCUCUGUUAAAGGACAUUAACUAGAAUGCAAAUCAAUCACAAUGUAAUGAGUCUCAUGCUCAAAACCUUUAUUUCUCUUAUGUCUUGAGUACAACAAACAAACAGAUACAAGUGCGCAUAAACUGAGUUCAAGACAAAUUGAUAGAGUCCCAUUUAGAUUUAUCUCUUAUCCAACCCAUCACUGGCGCUUCUUCCCGGUUGCAUGUUCCCAUGAGUGCAUGACAUGGUUCACGAUUUCCUCGACCCCAAGCCCAUGCUUCACCUGGAAAUGUUUUAGUAAUCAAAGAAGAUUCCUUUGAAAGAACUAAGGUCACUCGUUAUGUAAGUGAUGAGACCUAUUUCUAAAGAUGGCUAACCUGAGCAAAGACAAAUGGCCCUCCAUCACGCAUGCGUAGCGCAUCCCUUUCCAUAACAGAUAAGUCAGCCCCAACAGCUGCUGCAAGGUCUGUCUUGUUUAUCACCUGCAGUUGCAAAAAUCAACCAGAGAUUCUUUCACACUACUAUCGACUUUAAAAGAGCAUGUAAGUUUAAGAGUUGAAGCAGCAUAAGCGCACCAGAAGAUCAGCUUGAGUGAUUCCAGGGCCACCUUUACGGGGUAUUUUAUCACCAGCAGAUACAUCGAUGAUGUAGAUGAUAUAGUCAGCAAGUUCUCUGCUGAAAUUAGCAGCUAAAUUAUCUGCAAAGGCAACACUGAUCCUAUUCAAUUUCAUUGGAUGCUUGAGAAACAGAAGUCUAUAAAAGAUACACACGCAGGUAAAAGAACUGAAACCUCACCUCCACCGGAUUCACAAAGAAGCAAAUCAGCCUUGAAUAAGUUAGAUAACUCCUCAAGAGGACCCAAAUUGAUACUGAUAUCUUCACGGAUCGCAGCGUGUGGACAUCCACCGGUUUCAACAGCUCUAAUCCUUUCCUCAGGAAGAGCUCCAUUCUUCACCAGAAACUCACCAUCCUCUUUCGUAAAUAUAUCAUUUGUCACCUACACCAUUUACAAUAAUCUUUUCUUGAGAUCAAGGAAACAAUCUCACUAAGUAAUCAGAAGAUUUGCAGCUGAUAGUAAUACUCACAGCAGCAAGACUAUAUUUGUCCCUCAAGAAUCUACAAAGAGCAAGCAUCAAUGCCGUUUUCCUGAGUGGACGAAAAACAAAAUCCAAUAUGGAGUUAGACAAAAAAGAUUGACACUUUUCUGCGAAACUUGACAAUAUGUGAUCAAGAACACUGAAUCCAUCUAAAAACAAUAUCAAUAGAUUCAAUGGUUUAACCCAGAGACUGUAAUUUGUUAUGAUACAAAAUCAAGCAGUAAAUUUGAAAACAGUACCCGGUGCCAACGGGACCGCCAAUACCGACGGUGAAAGCUCUCUCAGAGAAGUUACGGUCGUUAAGGGGAGGAGCUCGGCGACUGAAGUAGCCAGGAGAGUAGAUUGGUUCGUGUGAGUGCGGUGCAAGUCCAUCGUGGCUAUGGAACACCCUCCCGUCCUGCCCCACCCACGACGUCUUCGUAUCGCCGGCGUCAGAUUUGCUACUCGACACAAGUAUGCAUACAGAUUAGUGGAGAAUAAAUCGCAGGAAAGAUCAAAUCUUUACAGAGAAAAACAAUGAAAACAGGAACUCAAGGCCUCACUCAUGAUCUUGAUGAUGAUGAUGAUGGUGGUCUUGCGAUGCCAUUGUCGAGAGACUUGAAUCUUCUUGUGGUUACUGUGUUGACUUUGACUGAAUCUACUCCGCGACAGGGAUCUUAUUUCGUAAGGACAAGAAAAAAAACUAUAAAAGAAUCUUUCUGAUUCUAUCCAAACUUCAAACCAAUGUGAAAGGGAGAUAGAUAUGCUUUUCUCAGUCGUCGGCUCAAAAUGACUGAAGUGCCCUUAGAUUUUGUAGUCGACUUUAUACUUAUUAGUGUUACAGAGUUUUUGUAUCACAAAAUUCCAAGACUCAAAACUGAUUUAGGUAAUUGUUGUUUGAAGAAUAAGUGCACAACAUAGGAGAUAAGGAACAAGGAUAUUUCAUAAGCAAAAAAACAUAAACCAUAGAAUCCAGACAAGGUCGAGUAGUGAGUUUCAUGAGUAGGCCUAACAUAUUGAUAAACAAAAAUAUCCGAGAAAAUCCAAAACAACAGAGAGCAUAACUUCAACAUCGAUUCCACCCCAAAAAAGAGUCAAUCUGAGACGGUUCUACAUGAACAAGUUGGGCUUGUUGGCCUUGUAAGUCGUCUUCAGCUUCCUGCUUGGUGGUCUAACCUUGCGGAACACCAAGGGGAACUUAAUCUUGCUGUUGUGGAACUGUUUGGUGCUCUCUCUCUUGCACAGCUUGGCCGGGACAGUGGCUGUCUUAAUGAUCUGGAUGCAAGGGAAUCUGACACGGUGUCGGGAAGCCAUCUCAGUGUACAUCUGUUCCACUGCUCCGUUAAGGGUGGUGUCACGGUACUCCUUGUACAUGUUGUGGUAUCCAGUUCUGCUCUGGUACCUCAACCAGAUACCGAAGUUCUUGAUUGUGGUUGGGUUCUUCUCAUAGAUCUGUGCAAACAAUUUGGUUAUGGAUGACAUUAGUCAAAAACAGACAAAUGGUACUAUAUUAAACUCAUCAGACAACAUGAUACUGUUUCUAAUUGCAAUUCGAUAAUCACGAAAUAGACUUAGGAGAAUCUAAGUCUUCAAAUUAAUGAUAUUAAACUGGACCUAAGACACACAAACAUCAUCAAAGUCAGGAAUCAGGUAAUGAUAGAUUUGCAAGAUCAAGCUACUUAGUAAUGUUCAAGUGUUGUAUAAAUCACAGAAAAACAAAAGACUACAAAAUGUCGUAGCUAUGAAUAUAACAAGAAUCAUAAGGUGAAACAAAGACACAAAUGUAAAUUAUUUAGAGGAAACAUAAACAACAAGAUUAAUCAAAACCCUAGUGUUCGAAUCUAGCAAUUCCGGAUAACGAUAAUCGACUUCAUACGCUUCUAACACAGUGAGGUAUGCUUAUCAUUUCAGAGAUGAGAAGAGAGUUAAGUACCUCGUUGAUGGCGAGCAUCUGUCCGUUACUCUUCUUGACCUUCUUCAGCUUCCUCAAGAAAUACCAGAACUUGGACUUGGCACGGACCUCGUUAGUGGCCCAGAGCUUCAUCCGGUAGAUCUUAGGCUGCACAUCCUUCUCAGUCGGGAGAGCUCUUCCGACAACCUGGUACUGGUGAAACUGCAAAAGGAAAAUACAAAGCUUAGAUCAGAUCCUUCGAAACAGAAGCAAAUGGCAACAUUGAAAUCAGGAAGGGGAUCAAAGAGCUUACCCUGAAGGUACCCAUUUUUCGUCUCGACGGGACAAAUGCGGUAGAAACCUCUCAACCAAAUGAUAGCGGCUAGGGUUCUUCCUACUUUAUAAAUGAGCGAGCAUCUGCAAAAACCCUAAUAUACUUUUAACUGAGAUCAUAAAGCCCAAUAGUCUUAAAAUUGUAGACUAAGUUUUAGCCCAAAUGUGUGUUACAACAAAGCCCAAAUACACAAUGUGGGUUACAAAGGAUUAAUAUGUUUCAAGUCAAAACGGCAAAACACAAAUGUGUGUUAACAACAAAGCCCAAACACACAAGGGUCCAAUUCGACUAUAGAUGGGAGCGGUAGCGUCGUGAGCGAGAGGAAGAGACCACCGCAAACACACACACCCACUAGUGAAGACUGAAGACUGAAGACGGUCGACAAUAACAAAAGGACACAUGAUUAAAAUGUGCUGUCUUUUAUCAAUGAGGAGGGUCGGCCAUCAUAAUCGUGGCAUUGAUUUUUAAAUAUUAUUAAUCAAUUUACAAAUACAUAUAUAUAUAUAGUUUAUAAAAUAAAACCCUCAAAUGUUUUUCUAUAUGCUCUCUCGCCUCUCAGGUUGUAUAUUGCUCUAUUAUCUUAACGACGUACAACAAUAUUGAGAAUGUGUGUUUAAAUUUUUGUAUGUCGAGUCGAUUAAUAAUGUAUUUGUACCACUAGCCACUAGCUAGGCCUCAUUGAUAUUUAUUUUAAAGGAAGAAUAGAGAUAUGACAAUGACAUAACAUACACAAAACACGUGAUAACUUCACUGGGACCAAACAAAACACAUUUAAGAGAUACGACAGAUCUGAUGGCAAUAAAACGACAUCUCUCCUCUCAAAUUCAGCAAGACAUUAUCUCCCCCUAGGGGACUUCACCUGAAGAGAGACAUCACGAUCACAAACUUUGAUAAUAUCUUCACUCUUAUCACCAAUAAUAAAUUUAUUCUUUAAAAUUUAAAAUCAAUUCAAGGAGAGGUUGGGAUACGUUUGGACAAGAACACGGUGCACCCGUCCUUUGGCGAUAUCGUGGGGCAGUAUAUGAUAUCAUCGCAGCCGUCCGAUCGAAGCCUCUUGAAAUCAAACGAAGAUGAGAACAUUGCGUUGAAGAGCACCAAGUGGUUGAGCGCGUAACGCUGCCCCACGCACUGGUGCGCACCCCAUCCAAAAGCUAGGUAGUUGCGUUUGAACACCUGGUCCUCUUGCCUUGUCUCGCUAAACCGGUCAGGAUCGAACCGGUUCGGUUCAGUAAACCCUUGGAACGAGGAGUCAAAGACCGAGGGAAACACUAUCGUACCUUUUGGGAUAGUGUAUGAUUCCGUGAGUGGGAAAUCAUUGGUAGCAAUGUGUGGCACCAUAGUUGCCGGUGGCCGGUACCUCACGACCUCACGCGCCACAGCUCGCGUGUACUUCAUCUCGGCGAGCUGAUCUGCCGUGAUUAGCUUCCCGGACUCAGGCGUCCAGAUCUUGACCACUUCCUCCCUCACUUUGCUUAGCACUUCCGGGUUUGAUUCAAGAAACGCCACCGCCCAAAGGAGUGAUGACGUGGAAGCGUCUUGCGCGGCAAAGAGAAAAUCGAAGAGAAGACCGCCGAUGGCCUCGUCUUCCGAGUGAACCGGCGGAGGAUUACCGGACUCUAUCUCUGCCACGAUUGCAUGCAUCCAAAAAUCGAUUAAACAUGUCGGCUCCUCCCCUUUCGCCAUCCUCGUUUUUGAUUUUCCGGCGCAUGAGGUGAGUGUCUCCUCUAGAUUCAUCACCGCCCGGCGAGCUUUGCUGAACGCGAAGCCAGGGAGGUUGAUCGGUAGCGCCAUUGAUCCGACAUUGAACAGGUUGUAAUCAGUACGGAACGCACUCCUAGCUUCUUUGUCAAGGUAGGGUCCGACGAAAACCGUUUGAGAAGUCUCAAGAUUGAGUUCACGGACAAGAUCUCGCAUAGCCACCGGCUUAGUUCCGCCGGAGAAACUUUCCUCCCACUGCUUAAGAUGACGGAGCAUAACUAAUUGUUGGAGAUCAGAGUAGGUUGAGAGUGCCUUGGGGGUGAAGUUAGGAGCAAGGUGACGGCGAACGGAUUUGUGAUCCUCACCGAACAAGUAGAUGAGGCUGUGGUCACCAAAGAGCUGUUUGCCAAAAGGAUGUCCGAGAGGGUGAAAUCCAUCGACACGAACGUUGGAGAAGAUUUGAUGGGAAAGCUCAGUGUCUCUGAUGUAGAUGAUGAAUUUUCCUAUGAGGUAGUUGGCAGAGAGGCCAGGGGAAGUUCCCGCCGUGGCGGAUAGCUUGUCCCAGUAGGAAGUCGGGUCAAGGACGAGUGAAACGGCGUUUCCGAUGACCGGAGGGACAAAGAAAGGGCCAGGGAGGUGACGUUUCUUGCCAAGGUAAGAGAGUUGCUCGAUUAGAAGGAAGAGAAGCAAAGCAGAGACUACGUAUGGUGCAAGAGAGGCAAAUAAGGAAACUGAGAAAACCAUCUCUUUGUUUGUUUUCUACUUCUUCUUCUUCUCAGCAGAGCUUCUCUUAGUGACUUAUGCUCUGUUUGCGAGUCUUUUUGUAUAUGUAGUAAAAAAAAAAUAUAAGGUAUUGAGGCUAUCUAUGCAAUGAUUUGUUAUACAGCAGUUGGUAAUUUGUCGAUACGUGAAAAUACAUAUGAUUGGUGUCACCCCAACAAUUUGUAAAAUAGUAAUAUGGAAUCAUAUCACACAGUCACUAGAUACUAGCUCGAUAUAUUUCAGCAUUAUGUCUAAAUAACUGUGAAGGAGCUGUAGUUAUGAAUAGCAAAACAAAAUCAUUGAGAAACUGAGACAAAAAAACAUUUGUAAAAUCUACGACCAACCCAUUUACACUUAUCAUGCUGUAGUAUGCUCUCGUGUCAAAAUGCAUGCAUGCAUGCCUUGGGUCAAAUUCAAAUUAUGGUUUCCGUCCGUUAUAAUUUAACUGAAUGUUAUAAUAUUAUAUAACUUCACAUUAUUACUGAUAUAACUCCUCACUAAGAAAUGCAAUUUACAACCAUCAGAAAAAACAAAAAAUGCGUGAGUAGUUAAGUAAUGCUUGGAAGAUAUAUUUGCGUAUAUUAAAACAAACUAGUCAAAGUAAUGUGAUAGAAGAGGUCGUAUUUUAUAAAAUGGCAGAGCUUGAAUAUUACGUUUGGCAUAAAUGUGCAAAACAUUGAAACUACGUUACUAGCAGUCUAGCACUUAUAAAUUAAGUAUUUUUUUUCUGCAUUGUUCAGUCUAAACAAACUACUUUAAAUACGAUCACUAAUUCACUAUGAAUUUUUAAAAAGAAUAUUAAUCUUUUUAAAAAUCGAAAACAUUGCAUCACUCGGGUGUUUUCCAUUACUACAAAGUGAGUAGGUCCAUAUUUGUUCUCUGCAAACCAAUAAGGAAUAACCAAGUAUACUUAUAUUUUCAACUGCUUUAUUAUAAAUAGUGGAAGUCCUAGUAUUAUUGGUCUAGUAUUAUAAAUAGACCAAGAAUUGUUUAAUUUUUGUCUUCUCAAAGGUAGACCAAGAAUUUAUUUAGAAAUUUAAUACUAUAAAUGGGGAUUCAAUUCUAAUUAUGCAUAUCAGCUGACAUAAACUUAGUUACCGUCUGUCUAUGCUAACCAAUGUAUUUCGAGGUUUAUUAUUAUGUUCUAAAUGGAUUUAUUUCCGAUCAUUAAGUCACGUGUUACACAUUUAAUCUAUACAUGUCUAUUUUUGUCGGCCAGAUGUAAGUCUAAUUAAUUCUUUUGUCAGUAGAGAGCGUUGGGAGAUAUUAUUUGUUCUAAGAUAAUAAAUAUACUACGUUCUAAAUAUCAAUAUAUUUAAUUUGCCUAAAAUAUACACUACAUUAUUAUAUGUAAAAAAAUAUCCUACAUAAAAAUUGUUAAUUCAAACCCCCGCAAAAAAAUAUAAAACACUGAAAAUUUAUUUCAAUUUUCUGUUUUAUCGUUUUCUGAGAAGAAAAAAAAUAUGAUAUUAAAAAAAAAAACAAAUAGUGAUAUUUUUAGAAAACAAUGAAAAUGAUAUCUUGAAAAAUUUCUCUUUUUAUGUCUUAUCAUUACCAUUUUAAUAUUAUAUAUAUAUACAGUACUACCCGAUCGUAUAUUUUUGUAAGUUAGAAAGUGACCUUUGGAGUUGUAAAUCACAAUAUUUCUUUCUUUCUAUGUAGCUAUAUAAUGAAACUGUAUCUUCUUUCACACACACACAUAUAUAUAUGAGCAUGUGCAUCUAUAGUCUCUCAUUAAAUUUCUCAACAAACAAUCAAAAUGAAUACUAUAAUUACAUUAUGUAGAAGUAAUUUUUAUUGUUAUUAUAUUAAUUAGUUAUCUUGAAAAUUGAGAGACUAUUUUCAAAAUCUUUCAUAUACUCCAUUUGUUUCACAAAAAGUGUUACUUUGACACAUUUCACACAUUAAAAAACAUUAUACAUAUAUGCUUCUAUUAAAUAUGUGUUAAUAGUUUAACUAGUUUUUAAAUUAAGGGUAAAAUUAAGAAAUGUAUUAUUAAAAAUGCAUUGAAAAUGUAAAAUGACAUUCUUUGUGAAACAAAAUUAAAACUCUAGAAUGAUAUUCUUGGUGAAACAGAGGGAGUAUUUGUUAAGAAACUUGAUGAAACUAUGAAUAUGCAAGCUCUAAAUUAAAGAGCCAAUUUUAGUUCAAAUCAGCCUUUUAUCAGGGUGUAUUUUUUUCUUUCGGUUACAAUCUCAUUUCAUGAACUUUUCAAUAACCGCCUCUAAGAAUUUGUCAAUAACCGCCCUUAAAAUCUAGCUAGUAUGCAUCACCGUAAUCAACAUUUUCAACAACCUCAGUUUCAUGAUUGAUCGGUAACUUAUGUUCUUAUUAUAGGUUGUAAUUUUGGGUCAAAUAUGUUUUGGUCGUCUUCAUCCUGCUUCGAGCAAACUUUCUUUGAAGAUAUCGGAUAAGUGGAGUGCCAUUGAAAUCAUAUGUCAAUAUGCAAUCAGUGUAAACAAAGUCGUAUAAAACACCCAAACUAUCUUAGAAGAUCUUUAUUGCAAGCAUUUUAAAUAUUAAUCUUAUAAUUAAUGUAGUAUUAUAAUUGAAAAUGUAUCUUAACACAAUGUUUUGUAUCUUAUAAGAUACAUACCUUAUCAAUUAACUUUAUUUUGCAUUUAAUUAAAAUUAAAAAUUAAUUUAAGAAUUUCUUAAGAUCCGCCCAUUAAAGAUUAAGAUCCUCCCAUUAAGAUGGUCUAAAUGUAGUUAUUAUAGCUCGACGAUUUGUCUCCAACGACAUGCAUGCGAUGCUCGUAGAGGCAAACGUCGCAUUUGGUAUCGUUUUUUUAAUCAUGAGAGUUAAAGUUUACGGGUGGAUCGAUGUUAAUGUGAGAUAUUGUGUGGUAGAAGUGAUUUUAUUGAUAAUUAGAGUGGUCCAAAACAAGGUUAGACGAAUUCAAAAGAACUGUGAGAUAAGGUUAACGACUGGUAUGCUUUUUUCAUUUAAAUAAACGACGGCAAAAACUAAACAACUAAACAUAGUAUGAAGCACGUUAUAACAUCACUGAUUCACUGAGACAAAAGAAACUGAAAAAGAAAUUAAAGAAGUAAAAGACAACAACACAAACAGAGAUAUGGUGAAAACAUGCGUGCAUGGUAAAAGUAAAGCAAAUGACAUGUCUUCUCACUUCGAGAGACACAUCACGAAAAGCAAAUAAACUUAAACUUCAAGUAAAAUCACACUUUUGACUUUGAUCGCCAAUAAAUUUUAAGAAAAAUCCAACUGGAUCAGUUUAAAGGGAGAGAGAGAGGUUGGGAUACUUUGCGACGCGUCUAGACAAGAACACGGUGCAGCCAUCCUUGGGUGAUAUCGUAGGGCAGUACACGAUGUCAUCGCAGCCGUCUGAUCGAAGCCUCUUGAAAUCAAACAAAGACGAGAACAUUGCGAUGAAGAGCACCAAGUGGUUCAACGCGUAACGCUGCCCCACGCAUUGGUGAGGCCCCCAUCCAAAUGCUAGGAAGUUGCGCUUGAACACCUGGUCCUCUUGCCUUGUCUCGCUAAACCGGUCAGGAUCGAACCGGUCCGGUUCAGUAAACCCUUGAAACGAAGAGUCGAAAACAGAAGGCAAGACAAGUGCUCCUUUAGGGAUAGUGUACGAUUCCGUGAGAGGGAAGUCUGUAGCUGCGACGUGAGGGACCAGAGUUGCCGGAGGCCUGUAUCUCACCACCUCACGCGCCACGGAACGCGUGUACUUCAUCUCCGCCAGCUGAUCGACGGUGAUCAAUGCGUUGGACUCAGGCGACCAGAUCUUGGCUACUUCCUCUCUUACUCUGUUCAGCACUUCCGGCUCCGACUCAAGAAGCGUCACUGCCCAUAGUAGUGAUGAUGUGGAUGCGUCUUGCGCGGCAAAUAGAAAAUCGAAGAGCAAGCCGCCGAUAUCUUCGUCUCCGGAGUGCGGCGGCGGUGGACUCUCCUCGACGAUCGCCUGCAUCCAGAAAUCGAUUAGGCAUGUUGGUUUGUCUCCUGCAGCCAUCCGCACUUUUGAUUUUCCGGCGCAAAUGGCGAGCGUCUCCGCUAGCCUAGUUACUGCCCGGCGAGCCUCACCGAACGCGAAGCCAGGGAGGUCGAUGGGGAGAGCCAUGGCUCCGAGAUUGAACAGAUUGUAAUCAGUACGGAACCUGUUUUUGGCUUCCUUGUCAAGGUACGUUCCAACGAAAACCGUCUGUGAAGUCUCGAGGUUUAAUUCACGGACAAGCUGUCGCAGCGACACCGGAUUAGAUCCUCCGGCGGUACUCUCCUCCCAUCUCUGUAGAUGACGGAGGAUAACUAACUGCUGGGAGGCAGAGUAGGUCGAGAGUGCCUUGGGGUUGAAGUUAGGAGCGAUCUGACGGCGGACGGAUUUGUGAUCCUCCCCGAACAUGUAAAUGAGGUUGUGUUCACCGAAGAGCUUCUUUCCAAAGGGAUGUCCGAUGAGGUGGAAGGCAUCUGGACGAACGUUUGAGAAGAUUUGAUGAGAGAGCUCAGUGUCUCUGAUGUAGACUAUGAAUUUCCCGAUGAGGUAGUUGGCGGAGAUGCCUGAGAUGGUCGCGGUGGCGGAUUGCUUGUCCCAGAAGGAAGUAGGGUCACGGACGAGUGCAACAGCGUUUCCGAUGAUCGGAGGGACAAAGAGUGGACCAGGGAGGUUGCGUUUCUUGACAAGGUAAGAGAGUUGCUCUAUGAGAAGGAAGAGGAGUAAUGCUGAGACGACGUAAGGUGCGAGAGAGGCAAAUAGAGAAACAGAGAAAACCAUAUCUUUCUUGUUUCUCUACUUCUUUUAUUAGUAAAGCUUCUCUUGAGGUUUUUUGUGUAUAAAAUGGAAAUGAUUGAAGAACAAGAAGAAGAAGAGGGUUUUGCUUUGUUGUCUUGGACUGCCUUUUGUCUUUCUUGAUGUUCCUUUGUUUGGUGGGAUUUUCAGAAUUUUCUAAUAGGUUUUGGGGAAUUGGAUUGAAGCUGUGUUUGCAAAUUGCAGUGGUAUUGGGACAAGAAGAAUUCAGAUUUCUUUCUCUGCUCUGUUUCUUUUAUAUACUUUCUUAAUCAUAUAUGUCUUGUCUAUCUGGAGGUAGAGAGAAAGAGACGAAUAUAAUGGAUUGACCAUAAGCUGUGGUUGAGAUCAGUUUUAUAAAGAAAAUUCUAAUCAUAAUUGGUUAGUUGUAAUUAAUACAAAGCACAUUAAGUAUUAUUUUUCCUGUAAGAUACUAAUCUAAAAGAGGACUCGUGUAUAUAUGUAACAAGUAACAACACAAUGAAAUAUAAGAAUAUUUGAUUUAUAAUAUGAUAGUUUUGAAAAUUUGUGAGUAGUAUGUUGACUUGAUCACGAUUCUAAUAAGACAUCACUGUCUGAUAGAUACUGUUCUUUGGAUAAAUUUGGUUUUUGAGGUUAUCUCAAUACUCAAUAGAUGACUUUGGAUUUUAUUUUUUAACUCCCAAAUGAAUUGUUUGUUUUGUUAACAGCUCUUUGACCUUCAAAGGCUCACACAGUCAGACCCUAUCAACCUGACUUGCUCUAAAUCAUCAAAAUAUCAUUAACAAAUAAUUGUUGAAAAUAGUAAAAUAAUAACGCUUUGCGUUUAGUUUUUUUUUUUUUUGUUCAUGUUUUGAUAAUCUGCUUAUAUAUAUUUAUCUCGGUAAGCUUCAAUCAUUGUCCAACUAUGUUUAAAUAAAUAGUGCGCGUGUCCUAACACAAAACUAUACUAUUUUAAAGCUUUUGAAUUGUAAUGACGUCUCAAGUUGCGUAUGUAUCGCGCAAUUCAAGUGACUUUUUUUUUUUCUUUUUAAUUCCAAAUCCAAAUAUGUAUGUCGUCUCUCAAAUGUGUGCGAUUGAAAAUCGCUCUAGCUAUUCUAAUGCAUGGACUUCCACAACCAAUAAGCGAGAUUCUAAUUAUGACAUGGAUCUUAAGAUUUUGAUUUUUAAUUAAUGUUGUUGUUGUGAUCUUCACGACUUCACCCUUACUCGGUAAUCGGUAUAGUUGCAUAUUAUGAAAAUUAUAAAUUUAGAAAAUUGAAAUGGUUUUACGUUUAGAGAGAGUUGUAUGUAUGUAUAUAUGUUAUAUCAUUAAGUUGUUGACUAUAAAAUUGUUAAUUAGUAUUUUCAAUGUCUAAUUUGUGAGAUAAACACAAAUACGUGUUCAAAAUAAAAUAGAUAAGCAUGAGUUAAUGCCGUAUAAAAACAUUAAACUAGUAUGUUUUCGAAUUAUGAUUGGCCCAAAAUUUUUAUGGCGACAGAUCUAAACAUUGAGAACUUGAACGACUCAUUUAUUAAUGUAGUUGCAUAGCAAUUAUUAGCAAAUAUAAAAAUGCGAUUAGAAAAGUCAUAUAAAUCAUAUAUAUAAAUGAAAGAGUAAUCUCUCGUUUGUAGACUUGUUAGAAUUUCUAUCAGACUAAUGAUACCACUAUAAUAUUAAUACUAUAUUAGAAAAUCUACAAAAUUCUCAUGUCAUGGUUUUGGAAUCCGAAUCUUAUCACUAACCAAUUUCCUUAUUUGAUCUAAGAAGGUUAGUUCGAUAUAUUGUUUUAGUGCAUACAGUAUGUCGAGGACAAGAGUUAGAUGAUACAUCUUAUUCUAAAUUUUCUUUAAUCAUAUCAAGCCAACUUCUGUUUAGAUAUAUAAAGCAUAGAACAAAAACCAUAUUAAACCUCUCGUGUUUUUGGCUUAGAAGGUUCUUCUUCGUGGCCGUAUAUAUAUAUAUAUAUAUAUAGAUAUAUAUAUAUAUUAAUCUCUCUAGAAUCAACGCCGUUGACCAUUUUUAAAAAAUGUAAAUCAGUUUUAUUGUGUGUGUACGUGACUGCUUGAUAGCUAGUUUCUUGUCUCUUGAUAAUGUUUUUUUUUCGAUCAAGAAGUUUCAGAUAGUGUUUUCAUUACAAAAUCAUAUCCUUUCUAGUACUAAAAUAAUAACUAUAUGACCUCUCCAUAUAUCUUCUGAUUAGUUUGGCUUUAGGGUAAAACAUCUAUUUGACAAUACUUUUGACAAAAAGAAGAAAAAAGAAUCAAAUCCAUAUUUAUAAAAGAAGGAAUCAUGUUACAACUUCUCUUGUGAUUCAGACUUAUUUUGAAUGUUGAUUUUUCUAUUGUCAGCCGCUUAGCAUCUUUCCAACAUCCAAUUUUGAACUUUUGAACUUUGAAGAAUCAUUUUAGAAAGGUGAAGAAAAAUCAGUAUAAUGAUAAUUAAUAAACACAUUUGGAUAAAAUUCUUCCCCUGAUUCUUCUUUGUAUUAUAAUAUUUAUAGAAGUCAAUGAACGUUAUUUGGCGCCGUGGAAUAUAAUUCUUUCUUCUUUUUUUCAGUCUCGAAGACGACUUAUUUCUUUCCCAAAGUUUUGAAACGAAGAUGGUCAUAAAACGGAGACACACAUCUUCUAGGGUGUACAUGCAGUAAUGUGAUAUAAUUUUGCAUUAGUUACCUGAAUAGAUGUUUUGUACUUUUGUUUGUAUAAAUGCCUUAAGAUCUCAAGUGAAAAUAUGAAAAGACCAAUAAGUUAGAGUAACUCAAAAGGACAGCAUAAAAUGCAAAACUAGCGGACAAGUGAAUCUUGUCUAGCCAAAUUUGCCAACGGUGUCAUUUUAUACGAAGUCUGAUAUGCUUGCAUUCGAGUUUUGUUCUUCCAAUUUUGCAGACUUCCCCUUCCGUAAUUACUAAUUACUAACAACACGUUAAUCUUCUUCUUUUUUCUCUUUCACAUAAUACAUUUAAUUAUAGUCUACUGGUUAUAGUAUCAGUGAAUAUAAUAUGGAAAAGAAGGAAAAAAACGGACUAUGAAUUGUUAUUUUGAUGCAUAUAUCAAAAAUCAAAACAAAAUGCACAUGCACCGUAACAAUGUAAGUGAUUCUUGAUCUUUGAAAGUAAUUCACACGAAAAUAUGAGUUUGAGGGGAAAAAAAAAACAUUUUACCACUGACCAGCUUAAAGAGAAUGAAAAAUUUAAAAAAUUCUCUGAAACAGAUUCUACUAAGAGAUUACCCAAAGAUGAAGCACAAUCUAGCUUCCUAUACCAGAUUCAUAAGAGGAAACGUAUAGCUAGAUGGCCUACGUGCCAAUACAUUGCAUCACGGACACGCUUAUGGUUUAGUGUUUUAACAAUUUAGAUUACCUUGAAAAUCCACAAUGAUGAAAACUAAUCUAGAUAGCCGUGUCAACUGGAAAGCUAGUUCAAACUCUUCAAUGAGAGUUGCACGAAUCUGCCUAGGUUCCAAUAAACAAUCCAUUAUAAUUCAUUAGCAUAAAAGCAUGUGAAAUGAUUUCAGUGAACUAGCUUACCUCAAUUUGCACUAAAAAGCUACUAUUUAGUGAUUUCAACGACCGUGAAUUGCAUAAAAAGGUACUUUCUCAUAUAACUAGUAGCUUGAAUCCGAUACAACAUUGGAGUCCCGGUUUAUCAAUACCAUUUUCUAAUCCGGAACAAUCUACAUGAACACCAAUGUGAGAAGAAUAAAAGCCGGAAAACCAAAUCCAACCCUACUAGAACCGGAGAACCAGACCUUAACGUCAUCAAUCACAGGUCCACACAAGGAACUCAUAUCGUCCGUCCUCGUAUUGUAAUAAACGCUGUAGAAAGCGAUCCUCGUACGGUCAGCUUUCGCCGUGAAAUUCACUUCCGAUAUCUCGAAAGUAGAGUUCGCUUGCGCCAUAUAAUGAAAGUUCUGUGCUUGAUCUCCCGCAAAAGCCAUUACAGCCAAAGGUUCCUUGCACUUGUCUCCUGCAUGACCCAAUGAGAAAGAUAGCUUAUACGGAGUGUUAGCCUUUGUCUCAACCAUUUGAGAAAUUAUGCCUUCUUUGCCCGACAGAAGCUCUAUAGCUCGCCUCCCCUCAGGAACAGAGAAGUGGUCCGAGUCAAUAAACCUGACUGCUCGGUUCGAUUCUACUGUCCAUCCCGGAAGUGACGAUAUUUCUUCGUCAAGACAUGUCGGAAGCAGAACACCUAAGGUCGUGUUCCUAAACAUCCAUGGACCUUCUUCAAAAUCUCCAUUAAUCACUGCAUUGCCUGUAACAGCACAACAUCUACAUUAGUUAUUGGUGUGUAAUUAAAACAAAUAGUAAUAAAGGAGGAAACGUUACGUUUUGGUUUAUCAGGAGUGAAGAGCUUCUUAACGGCAAUGUCGUCGAUGAUAGGGCCACAAGUAGGAUCAUCCUCCAUGUCAGGAUUCCUAAAAACCAACCUGACGCGAUCCACAACCGCUUCAAACGCCCAUGCAUAUGGAUCCCACCCUUGAACGCUGUAAAGCGUUUGUAAAUCGAUGGUCCGCGACGCGAUUGGCUCAUCGGAAGAAGCAACCGAAACGUUCAGCGACUCUAGCUGUGCACACGUGCGGGCGGCGCUGAACGUGACGGAGUAGACCGAACCUUUCUCCACCGCCAGUUCUUGGCUGAUCUCUGCUUCGUUUCCUAAUCUAACGGCGUGACGACCUUCAGGCACGAUCAAGAUCAUCCCGCCUUGUUUUUGACCGGACUUUAUUAACUCCACCAUGCCGUCAGAUCGCCAGCUCGGGAUCUCUGAGGCGUCGUGGAUGAUCGCGUCAUCAUCGGGGAAACCGUUUAAUGGCGGAGUCUCGAAGUUGCCGUUAACCACCAAGCCUGGGGAAAAAAACGUAUCCGGUUAAACAGGAGAUCACUUAAUUAUAAUUUAUAAAGAAAAAAGGGUUUAAUUACCGAAAUUGAUAAAAUUGUGUCAGAAAAUAAAAUAUGAUGGAAACGUGUAUAAGUGUAUAACAACAAUUUCAUAUUUUAUUUCCAGUUUUGGGCCAUACAUUCUCUCAAGAAAUCUAGAAAAAUAAUCCCAAAUUAUAUUCUUUCUCUCGUAUUUCUCGUGAGUUUACAUUUACCUAUUAGUUAAAAGGUUAGAAAAAAAUAAUAAUAUACAGAACAUAGAAGAGAAGACACGAGAAUUGAACAAUUUCAUAAAUUAGGCCCCACGGCAUUAACUUGCUAGGGUCUCAACAUUCAUUUGACUAACAGUUACAAAGUACCCUUUUCCUUAGGGAACGGGUAAACAAAACCUGGUUUUGAGGUGUUGGAGACUUGAAUUGAAUCAAACGAAACUGAGAGAUUAUCAAAGGAGCUGAGAAAAGGGUUUUUACUAUUAUUUUAACACAGGAAUGGCCUACAGCUAUUAUAAACUAAUGAAUAAGGUAAGACCCACAAACUUACUUUUUGUUUAUUUUCUGAUUGUGACUGAUUAAAAAUUGGAAAAAGGAUUUUUUUUACUCGUUGCUCAACUCAGACCAAGAAGAAGUGAUGAGAUUACCCUAAAAAAAUACCAAAUCCAUGUGAAGAUUAUAAACUUUUCAUUCCUUAUCCAGUUUUUGUUGUUAUCCAGAUCUGUUUUAGAAAGAAGAACUAAACACUACUAUAGGCGAUGUUGAAUAAUCCUCUGUUCUUGGAACAGAGAAGUUAGGCUGGGUUUACGUUUCCGUAAUCAAAUUCAUCACAGAAGAAACAGAAUCAUGCUUUCGCCAACCAAUUAACAAACACUACGAGGAAAACCACCAACACUAUUAACCACGAAACAAAAAACAAAUCAAGAAAGGUGACGAGAUUGUGAUAUAGUAUAGCUUACCGUCUUCGACUGGUGAAGUUUUGCCGGCGGAGUCUCCCGCGGUGACAAUGGAGAGACCAAGCAGAAGCACUACUAUGGAGAUGAAAACCGAUUUGAAACUAUUGUUGUUGUAAAGCACCAUCUCUCACUGUCUUUCAAUGAACAGUAGAAACUAGAAAGUGUUUCUGCUUGUUCUUUUUGUGCAACGGAGCCAAAGCAGGGAAGAAGAGUCUAGUGUCCCUUUUAUCCAAACUCCUUCCAGCUGUUCUUUUUGUUCCAUUAUUCUUAUAUUUACAAACCGCGUGGUGGUACUGGUCGUAGUCAUUGGUCUACACGAGAGUGGCUUACUUAUGUUCUCCCUUACUCAUUUAUCUAUUAUGGACCAAUGACCACUUUCCUUUUCUCUUUUCAUUUUUGUUAAAAUUAAUCACUUGUCUUUACCCUUUAGAUCAGUCCAAGCGAAGAGAUAAGGGGAAAAGGACAUCUUAUUUUGGAAUUCAGAGACACUCAAACGUAAUGGUGAGUGAUUCAAGAAGCAAUCAGGACUUCCAUCAAGUUGAACUGUUGAGGUACCCAAGUUACACAAACAUUAUCACUAAUGUUGCAAGAGGCAAAUUGUUUCUUUCCAAAAUUGGGCUCAGGCAGAGACUUAAUACCAUGACAUAGGAUGCAUAUGUAAAGGUGCGGAAAGCCUAAGAAGGUUGAUCAUUGCUUAAUGUUGUCUGCUUAAGAUAUCUAUCACAACUCCCCUGCUGCUGUUUUCCGAAGAAUUGAGCAGCUUUGAUGUUAUACAUUUUUACCUAAAAAUCGUUUUCUUCUAGCCAUAUCUUGUUUGAACAUCCCAAAGGGCACAUAAGCAUAUAAUAAUUGAUAAGUUCUUCGUGAGUUUACCUCUACUCUUCAGUAAUCUUCCCUAAUCUACACGAUAAGGAAACUGGCUCAGAGUUACCACCUACUUUCUCAACAUUAUAUUCCAAAGCAAAGUGUUCUAAAACUUCAACCUUUUACUUUAGCAAUGCAUCAUACUCCUUAGUGAAAGGUUGCUAAACUUUAUGUAUCAUGAUUCAACCACAAAAAUUGCUACGAUAACUACACAAGCCUUAGUGAGAUCAUAGAGAUCAUAAAGAAAGAGCAUGCUUUGUAGAUGGUGUUUAACUUAUUCAACGAGAAAUGCUAGAAUAACUGAGAAAGAGAUCGUAAACAAAGAGCAAGCUAAGUUUUGUGAUGGUGUUAAAAAUGUUUACACCAUCAUACAAACAGCUACUUGGGUAAUUGUAUUUACCACAAAAAAGUUUCUUCAAUUCCUUGCUCCCAUUUCUCCACAAUCAUCUUCUUCCCUGAAACAAAACAUCAAUUUAUCAUCAUCAUCUAAGUAACAUACAACAUAACAGUAAGGAGAAUCAAAUACACUUACUUGGAUCGGUCACAAAUAGACUACCAAGACGAUUUUUUAAUUCCCAUCAAAGCACCUUUAUUUGCUAAUCCACGGAAAACGAUUCGAGAAACCCGAAACAGCUCUGUCACAGAACGACCUCGACCAGUGAACACACAACGGUUUCUGAUUCUCACAAACGCACUAUUCCUCGGCAACUUCGAGAGCUUAUAACGAUUCUUGUCUCUCAUUUCGCUGGGAAGAUCCGGAUCUUUGCAAAACGCUUUGUACAGCUUUCUCCUCAGUUCAAAUCUAGCAGCGAGCAAUCUACGUCUGUGAUCUGCACUGUUCCUCUUCACACCUUGCUCGGUGCCGCUAUGCUUCGGUCCCGAUUUCAUAAGCGUCGUCGUGAAAAGUCUACCUUGGAUUUGACCGAGAUUGUUCGGAUGCUUAACCACAGAUCGACAUAACAGCCCUGAAGACGCAAAAUGUGAUUGAGAGAAGGAUCUUUGGCAAUAUGAAGAUACGUUGCGCAGUACUCCUCGGAGACUCGCCAUUGAUUCAGGAGAUUGGAGGGGGAAACGCCGCCGCGGAAAUGGUUUAGGGUUCUCUCUCAAGUUGGAAAAGCAAAUUCAGAUUGAAAAUUUUCACUUCUUCUGGUGACAAUGGUUUUUGGGCCUAUUUUUAAUUCUAUUCGGCCCACUAAAAGCCCGUAAUAACAUGUACAUAAAACAGCAUGGAUGAUCCAUUGUGGAAAAGCUUGCACUUAUGUUUUGAUUAUCUUUUUGCUAAACAUGAUACUGUAUAUAUACUGUACACAUACUGUAUCUUGGAUUUUUUUUGGAGGUCUAAAUUUUGAUGUGUUAUUAUUUAUGUAUCAAAUCAUAUGAUCAUUCUUUAACCAUUUCAAGAUUUCAUUGAAGUCUAUCUUCCAUUGUUUUAUCUUUGACUAAUUUCGAUUUUCUUUUGUUGCCAUCUUCGAUUUCGUGCUUGAGAGACUCCAUUACUUUCUUGAACUCGGCGAAUGUGAUCUGUUCAGUUUCAUAUUCUUCUGAGCUUCCAGGCCAUUGUAGACUAAUUUGGAUCUCUCUGAACUUGUUGAAUGUCUCCUCGACUUGUUUCAUAGGAUCAUUUCGAAGGUAAUGGAUUAUAGUCUGAGAGAUAAAUGAAAUUUUCACAAUAAGUAAAAUAGGAAGAUAAACUGAAUACUAUAUAGAUUACUCUAUGUGACUUGCCUGGUAUAGAGGACGUCUUGCAUCUGUUAUGACUUCAUCCUCUAGACACUUACAUUUUGUUGCCUCUUCCAUGUUUCCCUAUUAGUAAAAAACUAAAUUAUUAUUAUAUAGAUGUGGUGAAAAAAAUCAUGUAUUAUGAGAAAUGAAAUUAUAGAGCAAACCAAGUAGAUCAACAUCUCCACAAGCAACAUUUCAAUCUCAUAAGCCUCAUGACCUUUCUCUUCUUUUCUUGCUUUCUCCAAUGCUUUCUUCAAUAUCUCAACACCUUUUGCUUCUUUCCCACUCAUUUCCAUCUUCACAAUGUCUCUCUAGAAGAGGGAGAUGACAUAAAGUUUAUAUAUGAACAAACCGAAAGAGAACAAAAAUAUAUAUGUGACCAAACUUUUUUUUUUUUGCUAAACAUAUAUGUGAACAAACCUGAAGCAUCCCAAAGUCCGGGUGUUCCUUGGAAAGCAAUGCUUCAAACUCAAUCUCGGCAUUCGCAAGUGAAGAAGUAUCAGCGCGAUAUGAGUGCAAAUCAAGCAAUCUCUGCAAUGCCAACGUUCCUCCUCUAAUAGCCCCCACUGAAACAGAUCUUGAGAGGCCUUUCUGAUCUCUUCCAGAGGAAGCCUCCUUACCAAUGCUUUUAACAUCAUCAUCUCUUUUUUGUUCUACAACGCUUUUACCAUUGCUUUUUCUGAUAUCUCGACCGUUUUUAUCGUCUUUCUUUCUCCAUAAGCCACGAUUUAUGUAGCUCCAAGCGACGUAUGCACCGGCAACGAUGAAUACAGGUGCAACUGCUGCUCCAUACUUGGUCUUCAUGCUGACCUUGUUCUUGGACUGAUUCACCAUAUACUUACCUAAAUUGUAUGUUAAUUGUCCGAUUAUUUGUGUUUUGGAAUGUCAAAUAUUAAAACUUUCUUAUGGAAAGUUGGUUUUAUACACAAGAAGAACUGGAUUGCAAGUGGAAGAGGAAAAACAUUCAAGUUAUUCUAAUGUUAGUCUUGUAUCAUAGGUAAAGAAGUUUAUUAUACUUUAAUCGAAGAGAUACACGAACAAAGAAUAUAUUGCCAUGGGAAUUUCCAAUGUCCCAAACUAUAGAGAAAAGAAUAAUAUUUUCUGAAUCAAAUACUACAAUGAAAACCCACUAAUCUGCAAAAUGUAUGUACUACCACUAGAUCAAACGUCUCUAAGAAUACAAAGGGAACAAAUGAACAUUUAUCUUGUAAUUUCGAAAAAUAGGAUACCAAACAGUAAAUAAGCUAUCGAAACCUUGCCUAAAUACGUACUGGCUUGUUUAAGCAAGCAAAUUAAAAUCUUAGAUUCCUUUUCGUCAAUCUCAAGUUACUUCUGUCUGAAGCAACAAAUCGAUGCUUUCCUUCACAAACCCUAAAUCUCUAAGAUGUUCUAUGCAUGUGGAGAAACUAAGAAAAAAAAACAAAAGGGUAACAAGUAUUACCUAACACAACAACCAUUUUUAUUUCUCUUAUUACUCUUAGGAAAAGAAUGACUUCUACAUUUCUUCUAGGCCAUAGUCAGAAACUCACACUUCCUUUCCCUAACUUCACCUUUUCACAUAAAUCAAUUCUCAGAUCUCAAACCCCUUAUUUUGUUAUUCCCUCCAAUGGCGGUCAAAGCGGCCGUUCGUUCAUCAGAUCGCCAAUCACGAUGGCCAAAUCAAACAGCAAAAGUGAUUCUCACGAUGAUAAAAAGCUCGUAACGCCACUAAAAGUGGCGGCGGGAGCAUCCCUAGCACUUGCUUGCGCCUUAAGCAUCUUCGGCUUAAAGAUAAAGAAUACGACCUACAAUGCCGUCGCAGCUGCUCAUCCAAGUGCCGCCGACAUGAUCAUAUCCGGGAAGCCGACCUCAGCCGUAUCCGCUAAUUCCGGUAUGUAUCCUUUGCCAGCUAAGUUCGCAUUGAGGUCUCUCUUUGAAGUGAGCUCAAUGCUUGCUUCGGGUAAACCCAUUCCUUCUCAAAGACAAUUCAGUCUCCAAAAGCUCCCUUCUUUGCCUUCAAAGGAAGAUAUUGAUUCCAUUAAGGUACAAUCUGGAAACAUAUAAAUAUCUUUUUUUUUUCCAGUAUUUUAGUGUCACGUGAGUUCUUGAUCCUCUAGAGUCUAGACUAAGACUAGCCAGUAGGAAUGUUAUACGGAUAUGUAUAUAAAAACUUGUGGGGUGUAUAUAGAUGGAGGCUGUACGGAAGAUGAAGGAAGGAAAAUGUGAGGAGGCGGUGCAGCUCCUUCGUGACGCAAACAUGCGCUACAAAAACGAGCCUGAGGCCGACUUCAACGUCCAGAUGGCUCUUGUUGAGAUUCUAAUUUUGCUGGUACCUUUUUUAUUUUCUUUAUAAUUAUUUUCUACGUACUGUCACAGUAUUAUUGUUAAAUUAGGGUUUGUAAUGGGCUUCCAACUCAAAACCAAUUGGCAAUGAGUGGAUUGGCCCUAACCCUUUAUAUAUUACUUAAGUCCCCUCACAUCUUCCGAUGUGGGAUCUUUUCUCCACACGCCCCCUCGAGAUAAUGGCUCUUUUAGCCAUUAAUCUCGACAGAAUUCAUCACACCCCCUCGAGAUAAUGCUCUUCUAGAGCUCUCGAUGGAAUUGGGCCUUAUUUUGGGCCAUCAAUUAAUGGGGUGAUCGGGGCUCUAUCCGGGCCGGAUUAAUUAAUGGGUCAGCGUGUGUUCGGGCUCUGAUACCAUGUUAAAUUAGGGUUUGUAAUGGGAUUCCAACUCAAAACCAAUUGGCAAUGAGUGGAUUGGCCCUAACCCUUUAUAUAUUAUUUAAGUCCACUCACAUCUUCCGAUGUGGGAUCUUUUCUCCACAAGUAUAAUCUUUGAUGCAUGCAAUUUUUUUGAAAAAUUUAUAGUCUUUGAUUAAUGGUUAGUUUUAUUUGGACGGUAUUGUAGGAAAGGUAUCAAGAAGCUGCUGAGUAUAGUUGUCUAAAUGACGAUAAUGCUCAGAUUUCUGAUGUUCGAAUCCCUCUUUAUAAGGUUUGUGAACAUAACUCGUACAUCUUUGUAUUCAAUUUUGUUAAAGAGUAAAUAAACUAUAUAGUACUACUUGUUAAUUGGAUUAAUCAUAUCAGUGGAAAUUAAAAACAAAUCUACCGCAAUGUUUUUAGUUGUCGAAAGGUAGUAAUGUGGUUCAUUGUAAAAAGUACAGGCAAUAAUAUACACAAUGUUAGACAAAGACACGGAAGCCAAGCAGUGUUGGAAAGAGUUCAGAAAGUCUAUUGGUGAAGGAUUUGACCCUUUCAGCUUCGAAGAAUGAUUAUCUCACUACUAUUCAUAUGCGGAAAUUUUAAUGAAUACUUUUAGAUCAAUCAUUGAUUACUUAAAAAAAAACGUAUUGUCAUCACUUUGAAUUUGAUUUUAUGGAGAAUAUUCCAAGACAAUAUUACGAAAAAAGUAACAUAACUAGUCCUUUUAACACUCUUCUUUGUUUCAUCAUAUAUCGUCUUAUGAGAAGCUAGAUAUAUCUUCGAAGUUUGGUAAGAUGACAACCCCGGUCAGUAUUGUUGACGUCAUUAGCAAAUUAAAGUGCUAUCCAACAAAAUAAAAAAUGUACACAUUCUAUAAAUGAUUCACAAAGUUUUGGGCAUGAUUCGAUGAACAUCCUUGGAAAUGGUGAGCAUUCAAUAUCACCACAUGAAUCUCUCAGCUGCUAUCAUCAAAAAUAAUUUUCAGAUCAAUCAUGUUCUUAGAUCCAUUUGUAAUAAAAGCAAACUGCGUAUAUAUCCAUUUCCGAGGUAUCUAAUAAGUUUGUCACCGCCGGAAAAUAGAUUCUAGCAGAGAGAUAAUGUAUACGGAAAUAUAGAGAGUGAUCAUGGAUGAUGAUGACAUGCUUCACCCAAUAAUCCGACAGAAAUAUAAUAUAUAGUGUCUGUCUCCAUGCAAUAGAGAAAAAGGACAAAGGAUGCCUAAUAAUAGAAAACACGCACUCCCACGUACUUAAGCAGACCAGGCGACGAAGUAAGCUGUGCACAACAUCCACAACCACGUGACCUCUAAUUUGUUUAGUUCCCGACCGACUCAGCGUGGUUUAACACACUACACUUAUCACAUUUUUGUCACGUGUCUCUAUAGGGGUCAGGGGAUCACUGCAAUAUACCAAAACCAAAUCAUCAAUAAAAAUAAGUCGACGUCGACCGAAUCUUAAAAAACUAUAAAACAUAGGAAUAGCCGAAUAGAGGAUACACAAUAAAAUCUCUGGCGUACGAGGACAAUAAUAUAUAUUACAUCAUACUCUCAAACUCCAAUUAAAAAAAUUUAAAACACAAAAAACGUGACGUAUAUAUGAUGUAUAAUUAAGCUGAAGAUUGAAAAGUAGUCGUGCAGUACAUAACUACAUACUCCCGAGAAAACAAUAGUAUUAGAGAGAUGACUCGAUGGGGAUUUGUGUGGAGACUACUCAGACUAGUCCCUCCCUACACCUCCACAUGUCAAAUUAACAUGAUCUUCUACAUGUACUCUAGUUACAAUCGUUUAAAAUUAAUUUCACUUUAUAGUAAUUAAUUCAAUAUUUCCAAAAUAGAUGCUUUCGUUUCCCUAAUUAUGUCAAAAACUAUUUUUUUAUGCUUCUUUGAUUGACUGUUCAUAACUAACAAAUAUUGAUUUAUGGAGACCAUUUUAUUUGUUUGCAGGAAAUAGACCAUUGAAAUUUGACAUUAUAUAUGUGGUACAUAUAGUAUAUGGGAGUUAUUGAACAAAAGUAUUCCUAUCAAAUAUGGGGAGAAGAAACAAUAAAAAUACAAUUAUCCUAACAAUUGAAAAAACAUAAUUUUAAUUAACAUAUUCAAAUAUUGAUAUUUUAUAUAAACUUUUAUCAAAAAGGACAUUUAAUGUUAUAUUAUAUAUAUAUAUAUUAUGUAUAAAAUUUAAGAUUAAUAUUGAAACUAUAUUUAUAUAGUUCCAUUUAGAUUUUAUUUUUAAUAUUCAAAGUAGUGUGGUAAUUUUUAAAUGUUUUUCCUAAAUACUUAUAAAACAAUUGAAAAAUCAAUUCAUAUGAGAGUUAUCUCAUUUAAUUAGAAUCACUAGUCAAAGAUUACAUUCCUUUUCAACAAACCCUACAUUGGGUAUUUAAUAUUUAUAUUUAUAAAUAUACCAAAACAAUAAGUAAUUGGCCUGAACAAAUAAAUAAAUAAAUCCACUGCCCUACACAGAACAAACGACUAUAAAUUAAGUGCAAAGAAAACACUCCUUUUCACCCAAAUUCUUUCUCUUUUAAAAAUUCAUCACUUCAUUCUCAUCUUCAGCAAUCUUUUUUUCGUUUUUUUGGUUUUUGUUAAAAAAUUCUUAAGAUCACUGAAAAGUUCUUCUUAAAAUAAAUAAAAGAAAUAGAGCAAAAAGAGUAAACCAUGGUACUUGUGGUACAGCCAGCCAACAAUUUUGAUAGCAACCUCUACGUUAACCCGAAAAGCAAACCGAGUCCGGUUAUAAUCCCUGUGAUAGACUUAACCGACUCAGAAGCCAAAACCCAAAUCGUCAAGGCAUGUGAGGAGUUUGGGUUCUUCAAAGUCAUCAACCAUGGUGUCCGACCAGAUCUUUUGACACUGUUGGAGCUAGAAGCCAUCAAGUUCUUUGCUCUGCCUCGCUCUCUCAAAGAAAAGGCUGGUCCACCCGACCCGUUUGGGUACGGUAGUAAACGGAUCGGGCCCAAUGGUGACCUUGGAUGGAUUGAGUAUAUUCUCCUUGAUGCUAAUCUCAGCAGUGAAUCUCACAAAACCUCCGACGUUUUCCGGCAAACUCCUCCAGUUUUCAGGUACACCAAAACCCAGAACUUUAAUGUUUAUUUCGUGAGCUCUUAUGUUUUGUGAACGCGCAUAUGUAUGUGAUCAACUCUAAAACACAACUUUAAGAUAAAAACAGAGAGAUCCCCUGUUCUGUUCCUUAACUGACAUAAAAAGGUUAAACUGUAAAUUGUGUAACAGAGAGAUGGUGAAAGAGUACAUGGAGAAGAUGAAGGGAAUGUCUAGCAAAGUUCUGGAAAUGGUAGAGGAAGAGCUAAAGAUAGAGCCAAAGGAGAAGCUCAGCAGCCUGGUUCAAGUGAUGGACAGUGAUUCGUGUCUGAGGAUGAACCAUUACCCGGAGAAAGAAGAGACUCCGGCUAAAGGAGAGAUUGGGUUCGGUGAGCACACGGAUCCACAGUUGAUAUCACUGCUCAGAUCAAACGACACAGAGGGUUUACAAAUCUGUGUCAAAGAUGGAACUUGGGUCGAUGUUACACCUGACCACUCCUCUUUCUUCGUUAUUGUCGGAGAUACUCUUCAGGUGCCCCCUUUUCUGUUGCAACUUCUUCUUUUUUACUAUUUGUUUAUAUUUUAUCUCACAACUCAUUUUAUAUAUCACAACAAACAUAUCUUCAGGUAUUCUUCUGAAAAAUUUAUGAGUUCAUUAAACUAUUAAUUUAAUAUAUAAAUAUAUUUAGAUUAUAUGUUUUAAAAAUUGGUAGAUUCAUUGCAAUUUUAUAGAAAUUUAAUAAGUUUAUAUCUGCAUGAGUCAUGAAUUAUUAUCAUAUGAUCAUCACCUUUCGAAACAUUAUACUAGUAAUAAUUACCACCAUAUACUAUAGGGGUUACAGCACAAAUUCAUAUUUCUAAACAUUUCGUGAUUGUGGGUGGUAAUCUAAUAUUUGAGAAAACAAAGCAGGUGAUGACAAACGGAAGAUUCAAGAGUGUGAAACAUAGAGUGGUGACAGCUACAAAGAGGUCAAGACUAUCAAUGAUAUACUUCGCAGGUCCUCCGUUGAGCGAGAAGAUUGCACCAUUGAGAUGCCUUGUCCCAAAGCAAGAUGAUUGGCUUUACAACGAGUUUACCUGGUCGGAGUACAAGUUAUCUGCUUACAAGACUAAACUUGGCGACUACAGGCUUGGUCUAUUUGAGAAACAACUUCCCUUUUCCCUCUCCAAUGUUUGAGGCUGUAUUCAUAUUAUUUCUUUUUUGUUUAGAAAAUUUAAUCAUUUAUUUUUUCAGUAGAAGAAGUCCCAACACCAAAAACAUAAUAGAAAAAUAAAUAAGUUUUAUUUUUCCAAAUUAUUUAGUAUUUUCCUUAUUUUAGUUUGUUAGGUUUAUUCAUAAGUUAUAACAAACAAGAUCUCAAAUCUUAUAUAUGAUUUCGUGCAUUGAGUUGAGGCCCAUAUAGGCCUAAUUAGACAUUUAUGUAUUAGCCUUGUGGGUCGAGGAGCAAUUUUUUUCAUACAGCCAAGAAAGUCCAUUAUCGAAGAGAGACACACAUCGUAAUCAGGGGAAACUGUGAGAAGAAGACUGGUAAAAUGAUUUGGAUUGACGUUGUUGUUUUCACAUCCGUACAAGUAACAAUUUGUGCACCAAACCAUAUACUAUAUAGUAUAUAUAAAUAAAAAAAGGAAACGAGCUAGAAAGAGGCAAGUAGGAAGCACGUCUCAGAGUGUUGUUCUCCAGAGAGAUCUAUGGUUUAUGGGCGUAACCGAUGAAUCUUUUUAGCUGGUCGUAUUAUUAAAAGCAAGCUCCAUGCAACCAUGUAUUGUAAUCCUUUUAUACUCCUAUAUAUAUAUAUAACUUUUUUAUAAAUAAUUUAUAUCUAAAAAUCAUAGAAAAAUUGUCAAAAGUGUAAAACAAAUGGAAAAUUGUAUAAAUAAUUUAUUGUGACGUCAUAGAAAACAAGAAUCUACUGAUCUGAUUUUAUUUAUAUUUUUUUUAUUUAAUAAAUGAUUGUCCUCCAACUGUGUAGCACGUGCCUGUUUGUUUGAUGUAUUUGCAUAUUUGCAAGAGAGGACUGAUGAGAGAGAGAGAGAGAGAGCUGGCUGAAGUUCAACUCUCACCAUCCGUCAUAUAUCUUUCUCCUCUCUCUCGUUCUCUUCUUCAGUUUUGAGAUCUCUCGCUCUCUCUCUGUCUCUCUCUCUCUCUCUCCAAAGAUGGCGACUGAUGAUGAGCCUUCUCAGACUCGCUGGAGCUUUCUGGUAAUCUUACUCCCAACUCUCUCUCUCUCUCUCUCUCUCUCGCUUUCUCUUCUUCAUUUACUUUACUUUUUACAUAUGCAGUUCUUGCAAUUUUCAACCAGAUUAUAAUUGCAAAACUCGAAUCAAAGUCAUACACUUUAAUGUCGCUUACGUUUUUAUCUUGAAAAACAAAUACUAUCAACUUUUUUUUUUAAGACCACCGGAGAAACCGAGGAAUGGGCUUAGACCUGUUUCAACUUCUUACUUUUCGAAUUAAAAAAGUUAGAUUUUUGUGUGUAUGUUUCUGAUACGAAAAAUGGUCACUUUCAAUGUCCCUUUAGAAUUGAACAAUCAACGAACCUGUUUCGAUUUCUCUGAAUUCAAAGCAAUGAGCUUGGAGAAUUGAUCGAUUUGUUCAAGAAUAUCUAUGUAUUUAUUAGGAAUUUAAAACGUUUUAUGAUGCCAAGUUUGGGAGGAAGAAGCUGCCUGAUCAAGAUUCCAACAAGGAGGACCAACCACAUGAUGGAUCAUCCAACACUACCAAUGCUGCUGAUGUCAACAACUCUUCCCAAGUUACCACUACUGCUCAGGUGAUUUUUGCCUUCUUUAGUCUUCCUGGAACCUCGGAAGUGCUUAAAGCAGUAAAUGGGGUGUGUUCUUUGUCCUCUGAUGAUCAAAGUUCUAAUAUUUAUCAUGAUUGCAGGAUGGUAACACAGGCUCGGCCAAUGGCAAUGUCAUUCGCGAGAAGCCGUAAGAUCUAUAUGGAUUCCUUUUGAUUUUCUCCUUAUUCCCAUUUGUUUAGAGAGUGUUGGAUGUGAGCAAUGUUUAGCAUAAGAAAACAAGAAUAUAAUUUGGGUUCUUAUUACCUUUCAUUCCCUCUAACGAAAGCACUGUCUCUUUAAUGUUAUUCUGCAGGAAAAAGUCUAUGUUUCCACCUUUUGAAUCUGCAGAAACUCGUACUCUUGCAGAGAGUUUGAGUAGGUAAGUCAUUGAGGUGUAGCUACUUAUACAAUUUUUGUUAUGUUCUUGUGCUUUAGUUUCUGAUGAAUUGGUGUGUUUUAGGGAUAUCAUCCGUGGUAAUCCAAAUAUUAAGUGGGAUAGCAUCAAGGGAUUGGAGAAUGCGAAGAAGUUGCUCAAAGAAGCUGUGGUGAUGCCUAUAAAAUACCCCACGUAUGUCCUUCCUUGCUAUCUAAGCCAUAUAUGCCAAUGUCCAAUUGCUUGCAGAUUAUUUUGAUACUUGAAUCUCACCAGUUUCUGAUUUUAGGUACUUUAAUGGUCUACUAACUCCAUGGAAAGGAAUUCUUCUUUUUGGUCCACCUGGUACUGGCAAGGUGAGAUGAUUCUGGUUCAAAUUGCGUUAUUAGUUUGGAAUUCUUGCUCUAUUUACAGCCUCAUGGAGCUUGCAUUUCAAAAUUAUAUGAAAACUUACUUCACCAAACCAUUAACCAAUUUCUUGAGCCUACUCCAACACUUCUCGAUCAUGAAAAGUAUAUUUUUUUUUAGGCAUCGUCAAGAUUGAAACCUACCUAUGUGUAACAUUCUUACUUUGUCUUCUGUAGACUAUGCUUGCAAAGGCUGUUGCUACAGAAUGCAAUACAACAUUCUUCAAUAUCUCAGCCUCAUCUGUUGUUAGCAAAUGGAGAGGUGCAAUUUUCUUCACCUUUAGUUACUCUUUAACCAUGAAAAAGUUGGAUCUUUUUUAAUAAUAAAAUUUGGGCAUUUCCAUAUCUGUUUUGAUGUUUUCAGGUGACUCUGAGAAGUUGAUAAGAGUUCUGUUUGAUCUAGCUAGGCAUCACGCACCUUCAACGAUAUUUCUUGAUGAAAUAGAUGCAAUCAUAAGCCAACGUGGUGGUGAAGGCCGCAGUGAACAUGAAGCAAGCAGGCGUCUCAAAACCGAGUUGCUCAUUCAGGUAAAAUGCGCAAGAACUUAUGCCUCCACAGUUCAAUACCUUAGCACUCCAUCAGUUCUAAAUCUUGUUUGGUUCAAAAUUUGCAGAUGGAUGGGUUACAGAAAACGAAUGAGCUCGUGUUUGUUUUAGCAGCGACAAAUCUCCCCUGGGAACUAGAUGCAGCUAUGCUCCGGCGUCUAGAGAAAAGAGUAUCCUUUUCUGUUUUACCUUAUUGAACAAAAAUGCUUCUUCUACGAUUUUCCUUUGUUUUAGCCUUAACUAGUGAAUCAUUAGAUCCUUGUACCUUUACCUGAUCCGGAAGCUAGAAGAGGAAUGUUCGAGAUGCUCUUGCCGUCACAACCAGGUGAUGAGCCAUUGCCUCAUGAUGUGCUGGUUGAGAAAUCCGAGGGUUACUCUGGUUCGGACAUUCGAAUACUUUGUAAGGAAGCUGCAAUGCAACCAUUGAGGCGUACACUAGCUGUUUUGGAAGACAGAGAAGAAACUGUACCUGAAGAGGGUAAAAUCUCACUUGAAAAAGAAUCCAUCAUUGACAUAGUUUAUGAUUAAAAACUGCAGAACCUUUGACAUUGUUCUGCUUUGUCUUGCAGAGUUGCCAAAAGUUGGACCUAUCCUACCAGAAGAUAUUGAUCGAGCUCUGAGCAACACUCGACCAUCAGCUCAUCUGCACGCCCAUCUUUACGACAAGUUCAAUGAUGAUUAUGGUAGCCAAAUUCUUAAGUAAACUCAACAAGAUAUAUACAUUAUUUGUAUGGAUGCAUCCAGAUUCCGUCCACCCAAAGACUGUUGUUGUUUGCCUUAAAUCAAGAAUAAAAGUUCCUAGUUGUUUUGGACUCAUUUUAGUGAUUAUCUUCAUAUUUUUUUGGCCGUUUUGUGUUUAAAACAACAGUUGGCGUUUUAGCUUUCUUUAUGUAUGAGUGAUGAAGUCUCUUUUAGCUUCUUGCUUGAAAUGUGGAUAAAGGAGAUGAGGGUGUCAAAGACUCAAAGCAAUGUGACUACAACUAUAGUGCGAUUGGUGACCAAAAUUUUAGAAUGCAGUAGUAAAACAUAACCGUUCAAGAAAAGGCAUCAAAAAUUCUUGGUGAGUCGCUUAAUAAAAUGUUAAUAUCCUCUGUUUUCACUCGUUGCUCUCCGGACCAGAUUUUCCUUUCUUCGAUCGUUUUCUUGUUCUCUUUUUUGUAUCACUCUCGGCUUCUUUCUUUUCCUGGAAACCCAAGAUAAACAUCGAAUUGUAAACAUCUGCGUAUUUGUAAAUAUAAGACUGCCAAAUCUUUAUGCCUACCUUUUGUGCACCAGAGUUAGAGUUGGGUCGACGUUUCUCUGUACUGUUGUCCUUCUUUUUCUUCAUGCAUGAAAGUGGAUUUGGACCCUGUAGAGUUUUGACACAACAAUGUUAGUUUAGUUUCUCCACAGCUACUUCAUCGAAGAAAAUGUACUAAUGAAUCCUAAAAGAGUUAUAUACAAACUAAUAAAAGGUGACUAAUGUGAAGAGAUUGUAACAUUACCUUUGCUCUAUUUCUCUUGAAUUGAGGUCUAUCUUUCACACCAAGUACAUUUCUUGUAGAGAUUACUCGAGGCAUCCCCCAUUCUUCAUUUACAAUUGUUCCUUCUUCUCUAUUGGAAGCUAUGAUCUUCGAAGUCUUUUUCGCCAACAAUCUUUUUUCUGUGUCAGUCAUAUUUAACCUUCUUUUUUCAGAGUCUUUGGCAGUCUCACGUUGGAAAUCAGAAGGUUGUUCGAUCAGCAGAAUGUUCCUUAAACCAAACACAAGAGGAACAAUAGUCUCCUGAAAGACGAAUUAAAUCAUGGAGAUUCAUUGUAUUAGAAACUCUAAAAACCCUCACAGACAAAACUCCAUCCUCUGCAACGAAAUACAAAAACUCUGCUCAUUAAACUAACCUGCUGAAGCUUUUUCCUAAACUCAGCAUCCUGAGUUCCGAGAAAGAAAUGCUCAGAAUUUUUUAUACCUAAAACUUCUGACAAACACUCAUCCGCUGCUUUUGCCUCCUCGUGCUCACAUCUAAACACUCACAAGUGAAGCAAAUCAACUUCAUAUACAUUAUACAAAAUCCAGCUCAGGAACUUCAAAAGUCCUCACUGUCUAUACUUUAAAGGCUCAUCUAUAUCAAUUAUCCAAUACAUUAUAUAGCCUGGGACUUCACAAGUCAUCAAAUGCAUAUCAGUUAUACAAAACUCAGUUGCGUGCCUCAUGAAUCAAAUCCAAAAUGUACACAAUCUCCUAAUUCAUCUCACACUAGACAAUCCAGUUGGAGAAGUCUUCUAGCUAAAUAUAUAGAAUACAUUCAUAGACACACGAUAAAAGACAAAUAAAUCAAAGUAAGGUAAUGAGUCAAAAGGGGAAGCUUACGUUGCUGUACUCAGCAUCUGAGCAGCUUCCAGAGAUUCAGAAAAAUCAUUACCCAGUUUCUCCAACUCCGCAACAACACAUCUACGGAACAGCUCCAUGAUAAGAAAUCCGGUAAAUUGAUAUGAAGUCGUGAGAAAAGAGAGAGAGAGUGAGAUAGAAAGAAACCUGGUGGUGAAGAGCUUGACGGGACCACCGAGGAGUUCGGAGAUAGCAGUAUCGGCGGGAGUGAUCUCAUUAGCAACAAGAUGGUGGAUGAAAGUGCCGUCGCAGAGUACUUUGAAAGGCUGACGGAAUCCGAAACAUACAGUAAAGAAUCUGACGGUUCUCCUGUUUUUCUUCUGCCUUUUUACUCUCAUCUUCUUUUUCUUCUUCUCUCUACGCUUUGAUUUUUCAGAGCGCGAAGCCGACGAUGCUGGAUUUAGGGUUUAUGAGUUUUUUCCUUUUGGUUCGGUUCGGUGGAGGAGAUAAACACCGAUUUCGGUUUUAUUGGUUUACUUGAUUCGAUAUAUAGUCUAAUCGGUUUAAUAAAAUUGACUGACUAGUGUGUUCUAAGAGGGUAGAAGUAAUACUAAGGAAGCUUGCUUUCUGUUCUGUAACUACUGGUUCAUUCAUAAUCAUCAUAAUAUACAACCAUAUGGUUAUACCUCAUACAAAGCCUUUCCCACAAACGUGUUCAUACUACACUUUUAAAAUCUUUCUUCAUGAUGGUUUAGGUGAUUUAGAAAUCAUACCUUAGUUUGUAUUCUGCAGAUACCUGUUCUUCUCAUGAAUUUCUUUGAACGUUGAGUUAAGCUGAGAAACAACAAAUAUUGAUGAUGACAUUAUAAUUAAACCUCACAAUGGUCCAAAUCAUUAACUUAAAUCCAAGACCAGGCACUAAAUUAUAUAAUUCACAUUCAAAGUGUUCUGUUUAUAUUUAGUUCUAUGGAUUCAAAGUUUAAAAUCCAUAGAACCGUUUAAAAUUCACAUUCAAAGUGUUCUGUUGAAAGGUUUAGAUCAAAGAGUAAGUUUAUAUUUACCUCCAUUACUCUGUUUCUCAGGUUCUCGAUUUGUAAACGGUUCUCUGAUCUAAACCUCUCAACGUUUUGGAUAAACUCAUUCAUCUCUAAGCACUUCACCUUGUAAUACUUCUCCCUCUCUUCAUCUAACUCUUUCAGCUCUUCAACCUCACUCUUCAGUGUCCUAUCAUCCAAUUUGAAAAAAUUCACCAUAAAGAUCAAUUAAACGCAUUACUUGAUAUCAUAACCAUCAGAAACGAGCAAGGAUCAGACCUCAAUUGAUGUAUAGAGCCAUGGUAUUUGGAAUCGAGAUCUUCAAUGUUAGAACUUAGAAUCGUGAUCUUGAGGUUUUGUGCAGCUAUCUUUUGGUCUAACAUCAAACAUCUGCGUUCUAUGGAUUUUAUACUCUCCUGUUUCGUUGCUAAAAUCUGUGAUUUGUUCACUUGUAUCUCUUUCUCCGCCUGAUCAAACAUAAGAAUCAACCAGAACCAGAAACGAUCAACAAAUUGAUUCCACAAAUUUCAGAGUACAUAGUAUGACUGAUUUGAUAAUUCGUUGAGAAACUCGAUUUCAAAUUGAAACUAAAGCAUCAUUUCAUCAUCAACCUGAGAUCUGGAUUAACACUGGAAUUGUAGCGAUUCUCUGAUAAUUAUACUACUCGAACAAGUUCUAAAACUCACAAGCGACAUUGAAAACUCGAUGAUUCAAAGGAACGAAGAGAAGCUAGAAUCGAAAUUGAUGGUACCUGGAGAAGAUCGAGUCGUUGGUUUCUGGUGAACUCCAUUUGAUCGAGUCUCUCCUUGAAAGCUGUAGAAAGCGCCAUUGCUUGAGAGUGAGAGACACACAGAGAAUUUGAAUUUUGAGGUUUGGAGAUGAGAGAUUUGAUGAAAUAAGUGGAGUCAAGUUUAUAUAUUUAUAAACCCAGUUAUGUUAAGGCCCAUAAUAUAUAGAGUCUGAUACUAAUAAAGCCCAUGAAGCCAUUCGUAAUUAACCACUUUUGUAGUGAUUUAAGUUCUUUUAAUCACUUUGAUACAAUUUAAUUUCGAACUGUCAAUAUCUUAAAAUUAUUGGUCCAAAUGCAUCGUCACUCAACUUUGUUGGUCCAAAUCUACUGAGCUACUACCACAAACAAACCAUCUGGAACCUACAACUUCAAAUAUCUAACUAACAGAUUACAUUAUGUAUGGUUGAUAUAACAAAUAAGAACCUUAAUCGUAUUGAUAGAUCUCGAAUUGUUGCUUCAUUGAAUACUUUGCAAAAAGAACAAAACACACAAAGCAUUCAAUAGGAAUUGCACAAAUCAACUGAAAUUAGGAGACGAGAGAGAUGUUUACACAAGGAUAUGGCAAAAUGAGGGAAAAAAAUAAAUACAAACAAAAGCUCAAGAUCGAUCAGACGGACUUGAUCGCGGUGGAGGGAUCAGGAUCGGAGUUAUCGGGAGGAGGAUUUGGGAUGAGAGGAGCACGAAGACCGGAUGAUGUGUCGACGACGUCGUCUUGGUCGUCGGGAUCGUAAUCGGGGUUGAGAGAUCUGUCGAUAGCUUCACGGCCUGACUCCAGGCAUGGCUUACAAGCUAACUCUAUCGUUAUCCAUCCCAAGAUGAUUCCGGCAAUUGCGAUCACCGCGCUUGUUAUCGCCGCCAUUGAGAGUGAGAUCGCUCUCUCUCUCUUUUUCUCUGAUGCCUCCAACUCUGUAUCAAUUAUGGGGGAGGAUAUUGAGAAAUGAGAAAUGUCAAUUUCAUUUUUUAUUUUUGUUAAACGUGAAAUGUCAGUUAUACCCAAUCUUUGAGUAUAUUCGUUUCGUCGGCAAGAAUUAUGAAUAAGCAGCUAGUUUUGUUACCUUCAUAAUAUUUCAUUGAUGACUUUUAUUUUGGUUAAUGUAACAUGAGACAGUGCUAAAUUCGUUGUUACAAUUUUGUUAUUGUCAAAUAAUGUUUUAGAAGGUUUUUUUUUUGUUGG